CCUACGGGAGGCAGCAGUGAGGAAUAUUGGUCAAUGGGCUUACGCCUGAACCAGCCAAGUCGCGUGAGGGAAGACUGCCCUAUGGGUUGUAAACCUCUUUUGUCAGGGAGCAAUUGGCGCUACGUGUUGCGUUAUCGAGAGUACCUGACGAAAAAGCAUCCGCUAACUCCGUGCCAGCAGCCGCGUUACUAGGGGGGAUGCGAGCGUUAUCCGGAUUUAUUGGGGUUAAAGGGUACGUAGGGGGAAUACAAAGUCAGCGGUAAAAUCGCGGGGCUCAACCUCGCUCCGCCGUUGAACCUGGCGUUCUUGAGGGGUCGAGAAGUAUGCGGAAUGCGUGGUGUAGCGGUGAAAUGCAUAGAUAUCACGCAGAACUCCGAUUGCGAAGGCAGCAUACCGGCGCCCAACUGACGCUGAAGCACGAAAGCGUGGGUAUCGAACAGGAUUAGAUACCCCUGUAGUC
This 460-nucleotide ribosomal RNA is filed under the name uncultured bacterium. Its description in RNAcentral is "partial 16S ribosomal RNA". It matches the Rfam family "Bacterial small subunit ribosomal RNA", at positions 338 to 795 of the family's 1533-position model. The record is from RNAcentral.